Long non-coding RNA from Clupea harengus (Atlantic herring), 340 nucleotides. Lineage: Eukaryota; Metazoa; Chordata; Actinopteri; Clupeiformes; Clupeidae. The record is from Ensembl.
GCCCAGAGUAGUGUUGGAACGUUGUCUGCUGGUUGAGCUUGUGGGAAAAAGAUUGCUUGUGUGGCGUGCGUCUAGUUCGUGGUUCUUGGAAGUCAUUAGCGACUAGGAGUUGGAUGUUGGAUUCAUCACGUUCCAUAACCAGCUCUUAUCCAGGACCGGUGGAGGUGUAUGGACUGUUACGGUCUCCUGGCCAUAGAUCUAACAUACAGCGUUACAGAGGCUUGUUGGCUGCUGCUUUGCUGCGUUUGUCUGCUACCAUCUUGUGCUGCGUUCUCACGACGCAACGCUGCUUUAUUUGUGGGCUGCUUGUUGCUACACUGCUUGGCUCCACUGCUUGGUU